AUACAGAGGGUGCGAGCGUUAAUCGGAAUUACUGGGCGUAAAGCGCGCGUAGGCGGUUUGAUAAGUCGGAUGUGAAAGCCCUGAGCUUAACUUGGGAACUGCAUUCGAAACUGUCUGACUAGAGUAUGGUAGAGGGUAGUGGAAUUCCGGGUGUAGCGGUGAAAUGCGUAGAGAUCCGGAGGAACACCAGUGGCGAAGGCGGCUACCUGGACCAAUACUGACGCUGAGGCGCAAGAGCGUGGGGAGCAAACAGGAUUAGAAACCCCAGUAGUCC
This 274-nucleotide ribosomal RNA is filed under the name uncultured bacterium. RNAcentral's name for it is "partial 16S ribosomal RNA". It matches the Rfam family "Bacterial small subunit ribosomal RNA", at positions 523 to 796 of the family's 1533-position model. The record is from RNAcentral.